UCAGGAUGAACGCUGGCGGCGUGCUUAACACAUGCAAGUCGAACGAUGAACCUCACUUGUGGGGGGAUUAGUGGCGAACGGGUGAGUAACACGUGAGUAACCUGCCCUUGACUCUGGGAUAAGCCUGGGAAACUGGGUCUAAUACCGGAUAUGACCUUCCAUCGCAUGGUGGUUGGUGGAAAGCUUUUGUGGUUUUGGAUGGACUCGCGGCCUAUCAGCUUGUUGGUGGGGUAAUGGCCUACCAAGGCGACGACGGGUAGCCGGCCUGAGAGGGUGACCGGCCACACUGGGACUGAGACACGGCCCAGACUCCUACGGGAGGCAGCAGUGGGGAAUAUUGCACAAUGGGCGCAAGCCUGAUGCAGCGACGCCGCGUGAGGGAUGACGGCCUUCGGGUUGUAAACCUCUUUCAGUAGGGAAGAAGCGAGAGUGACGGUACCUGC
Molecule: ribosomal RNA, 443 nt
Filed under: soil bacterium 14G-06
Lineage: Bacteria
Description: bacterial SSU rRNA
Rfam family: Bacterial small subunit ribosomal RNA
Source: RNAcentral